GACGAACGCUGGCGGCGUGCCUAAUACAUGCAAGUAGAACGCUGAAGGAGGAGCUUGCUUCUCUGGAUGAGUUGCGAACGGGUGAGUAACGCGUAGGUAACCUGCCUGGUAGCGGGGGAUAACUAUUGGAAACGAUAGCUAAUACCGCAUAAGAGUAGAUGUUGCAUGACAUUUACUUAAAAGGUGCAAUUGCAUCACUACCAGAUGGACCUGCGUUGUAUUAGCUAGUUGGUGGGGUAACGGCUCACCAAGGCGACGAUACAUAGCCGACCUGAGAGGGUGAUCGGCCACACUGGGACUGAGACACGGCCCAGACUCCUACGGGAGGCAGCAGUAGGGAAUCUUCGGCAAUGGACGGAAGUCUGACCGAGCAACGCCGCGUGAGUGAAGAAGGUUUUCGGAUCGUAAAGCUCUGUUGUAAGAGAAGAACGAGUGUGAGAGUGGAAAGUUCACACUGUGACGGUAUCUUACCAGAAAGGGACGGCUAACUACGUGCCAGCAGCCGCGGUAAUACGUAGGUCCCGAGCGUUGUCCGGAUUUAUUGGGCGUAAAGCGAGCGCAGGCGGUUAGAUAAGUCUGAAGUUAAAGGCUGUGGCUUAACCAUAGUACGCUUUGGAAACUGUUUAACUUGAGUGCAAGAGGGGAGAGUGGAAUUCCAUGUGUAGCGGUGAAAUGCGUAGAUAUAUGGAGGAACACCGGUGGCGAAAGCGGCUCUCUGGCUUGUAACUGACGCUGAGGCUCGAAAGCGUGGGGAGCGAACAGG
RNAcentral lists this ribosomal RNA (763 nucleotides) under uncultured Streptococcus sp. RNAcentral's name for it is "bacterial SSU rRNA". It matches the Rfam family "Bacterial small subunit ribosomal RNA", at positions 28 to 776 of the family's 1533-position model. The record is from RNAcentral. Lineage: Bacteria; Bacillati; Bacillota; Bacilli; Lactobacillales; Streptococcaceae.